GGCUGUCUAGCUCAGUUGGUUAGAGCGUCGUGCUAAUAUCAAGUCUAGCUGUGUUGCUAUUGCGGGAAGGUCUUGGGUUCGACCCCCACGAUGGCGA
Mycena vulgaris is the source of this 97-nucleotide non-coding RNA. Lineage: Eukaryota; Fungi; Basidiomycota; Agaricomycetes; Agaricales; Mycenaceae. The record is from the annotation of a GenBank genome assembly.